UACGUAGGGCGCAAGCGUUGUCCGGAAUUAUUGGGCGUAAAGAGCUCGUAGGCGGUUUGUCGCGUCUGCUGUGAAAGCCCGGGGCUCAACCCCGGGUCUGCAGUGGGUACGGGCAGACUAGAGUGCAGUAGGGGAGACUGGAAUUCCUGGUGUAGCGGUGAAAUGCGCAGAUAUCGGAGGAGACCAGCGAGUGA
RNAcentral lists this ribosomal RNA (194 nucleotides) under uncultured bacterium. RNAcentral's name for it is "partial 16S ribosomal RNA". It matches the Rfam family "Bacterial small subunit ribosomal RNA", at positions 524 to 716 of the family's 1533-position model. The record is from RNAcentral.